GUCUAUGGCCAUUCCACCCUGAACGUGCCUGAUCUCGUCUGAUGUUGGAAGCUAAGCGGGGUCGGGCCUGGUUAGUACUUGGAUGGGAGAAUCACCACACAAGUUAAGACAGUUGCAGAAU
This 121-nucleotide ribosomal RNA is filed under the name Microcebus murinus (gray mouse lemur). The record is from RNAcentral. Lineage: Eukaryota; Metazoa; Chordata; Mammalia; Primates; Cheirogaleidae.